This 232-nucleotide long non-coding RNA is filed under the name Carica papaya (papaya). Its description in RNAcentral is "long non-coding RNA (CPAP_LNC001182)". The record is from RNAcentral. Lineage: Eukaryota; Viridiplantae; Streptophyta; Magnoliopsida; Brassicales; Caricaceae.
CAAAAUCGUACCUUCCCUUCUCGUAUAUGUUUUUCCAUCUUACUGUCUUUUAAUAAACAGUUUAUCAAAUGCAAGUAUAAAUAAAAAUCCAUCAAAAUUACUGAUUUUAAACCAAAUGGACACAUGACACACACACACAUUCAUUCAAUCCUAAAACCACAAUAGUUUGAAAACUAAAUUUAUUCAUAAUGCUUCUAUAAAACACCAUUGCAUGCAUAAAAUAUAUUACUAU